AGUUCCCGACAUGCCCUGCCACGGGUGCGCCUGCGUACCGGAGCUACUGCGCCGGGGAGCGGGUUGGUUUAAAAUGCUGUGUUAGUUCCGUGGAAACCCGCUCGCCUGCUGCAGUACGGACCCUCAGGCGGACAGAUGGACUGUAGGGUACAUAUGGAAACUACAGUGUCCAGACCGGUCCUUUCUCCAACCCACAUCAAUGCUACAGCUUCUGAAACAUUCACAGUACUUCAGCAAAGGAUGAGAAUAGUUGAGGAACAGACCAGUUCACUGAGGGAUGACCUAAUAAUGUUGGAUUUUGGUGAAAAAAGAGGCUAUUUGGAAGCUCCAAACCAUUUAGAAGACCUGGACAGCCAGAAAGUCAUUAGUCCUAUCCAAAAUGAAGCAAUUUGUGCAGGAAAAAGAGAUAUUUUAUGGAAGAACUGUGAGUUUCUGGUAAAUCGAAUGUGCCGUCUUGAAAGCCUCAUUCAGUCCUUGAAGAUGAACAUCUUUCGGCUGCAAACUGAAAAGGAUUUGAAUCCUCAGAAAACAGCUUUUCUGAAAGAUCGACUGAAUGCAAUACAGGAAGAGCAUUCUAAGGACCUGAAACUGUUGCAUCUUGAAGUUACGAAUUUGCGCCAGCAACUGAGAGCUGUAAAAGAGGAAGAAGACAAGGCACAAGAUGAGGUGCAAAGGUUGACUGCCACUCUGGAGAUUGCCUCGCAAACAAAGAAGAAUGCAGCCAUUAUUGAAGAGGAACUGAAGACCACAAAACGUAAAAUGAACCUUAAAAUUCAAGAGCUAAGGAGACAACUGGCUCAGGAGAAGUACCUUAGGGAAUCUUUAGAGAAAUCAGCAUCAGCCAUGCUCCUCAAAAUACAAGAAAUGGGAUCAACAGUGGAGGUAGAACGAAAACAGGUGCACAUUUUGCAGCAAAACUGCAUUGCUCUACGUGAUUCUAUACAGAGCACUCAAGAACUACUGGCCCAGGAACAAAAAAAAAAAGAAGAGUUGGAGAUUGCUACUUCACAGCUCAAAUCUGAUCUAAGUAUGAAAAUAGAUGCUAGAAAUCACCUUCUUGUUAGUUUUUUGAGAUUUCAUGGAAAAACUCUUAAGAUCCCAAAUUCUUAAAGUGGCCAGUGUUAUUGGUAUUUCCGACAGUGCUGUAUGUAAAAAAUUGCAGAUUUCCCUUCUACCUGUAGUACUGAGACAGAGAAGGAAUGUUGUUAAUAAUAUAUUUGACCCUCUUAAUUGUAAACUAUUCCUUAUUUGUUUUUUUCCAGCUUGUUUGUGGACCUGGGAAUAUUUGGUUUCUAGACAUCUGGCUUGAAUAUUGGGCAAAAAAGUAAAACAAUAGAUUGAAUAUUUGAUAAUAGAAUAUUAGUAAGGUAGUAAGGCCAUGAAUCCUUGAUAACUUAUGGAUUCUGUCAGUUCAUCGUGUCAGAUUCUCCAUUCUUCAUGUUAUCAAUCUAUUUUGGUUAACCUAUUAUUUGUAGAGAUGGAUAGUUGUAAGGUACCUUUAAGAGAGCUUAGAUUAAUCUCCUCUUUUUAUAGAUGAGUCUUCAAAGAUGACAGAGCUAGGAAAGGAAAGAGCCUAGACUUGAUCCCAAGGUGUUCGGUCAUGUUUCUUCUAACCCAUCAGCCUUUUACCAUACUACUGUUGGUAGUACUUCAUUAUAAAGCAGUUUCCAGAUAGUCUCAAUGACAGAGGUCACAGAGUUACAGGGCAGUGCUUCAUGUGAUUAAUACAUCAUGGUUUACACCGAACUUUCACAUAAACUAUUUCAUUCAAUACUCAAAGCUAUCCUUCCAGAGUUACAAAAGGAAAAAAUGGCAAAGUAAGACCUAGACCUGGAUCUUCUAACUCCAAGCCUAGUGUACUCUCCAGUUCACCUUCUGUGCUCUGUGGCUGUGAUGGGGGCAGAGAAUACCAAAAAGGAAAUGGAAAUUAUAAAAAAUAUAGAGCAAGAGUAAUCUAUUCAAUGUUUUGACUUACUGCUUUUAGCAGAAAAUAUUCCCUUUUCUUAUAGUAGUGAAUUACUGUGUGAAGUUCUCACCGACAAUGCCCCUGGAUAAUUUUCUGUCUUUCUGUAAUUGUGUGCCUACAAAAAUACAUGUAUAUUUUAUGGUG
Molecule: small RNA, 2110 nt
Filed under: Pongo abelii (Sumatran orangutan)
Lineage: Eukaryota; Metazoa; Chordata; Mammalia; Primates; Hominidae
Description: retained intron
Source: RNAcentral